CAGUCGUACCUUCGGGUAAUCAGCCUUUCGAGUGCGAUUCUGUGGAGUGUGAGGAGCUAAACACCUUCAUGCCUGCAUAUUCGUGCUCUUGGGUGUACUUGCUCGUGUGGUAGGCCAACGUCAGUUUCGAUCACCGUAAAAUGAUCGGAGGAAUGUAGCUUCGAUCUCGUAUUGAAGUGUUAUAG
This 185-nucleotide ribosomal RNA is filed under the name Glomus sp. (unid). The record is from RNAcentral. Lineage: Eukaryota; Fungi; Glomeromycota; Glomeromycetes; Glomerales; Glomeraceae.